This 497-nucleotide ribosomal RNA is filed under the name uncultured bacterium. Its description in RNAcentral is "partial 16S ribosomal RNA". It matches the Rfam family "Bacterial small subunit ribosomal RNA", at positions 28 to 507 of the family's 1533-position model. The record is from RNAcentral.
GAUGAACGCUGGCGGCGUGCCUAAUACAUGCAAGUCGAGCGAACGGACGAGAAGCUUUCUUCUCUGAUGUUAGCGGCGGACGGGUGAGUAACACGUGGAUAACCUACCUAUAAGACUGGGAUAACUUCGGGAAACCGGAGCUAAUACCGGAUGAUAUUUUGAACCGCAUGGUUCAAAAGUGAAAGACGGUCUUUCUGUCACUUAUAGAUGGAUCCGCGCUGCAUUAGCUAGUUGGUAAGGUAACGGCUUACCAAGGCAACGAUGCAUAGCCGACCUGAGAGGGUGAUAGGCCACCAUGGAACUGAGACACGGUCCAGACUCCUACGGGAGGCAGCAGUAGGGAAUCGUCCGCAAUGGGCGAAAGCCUGACGGAGCAACGCCGCGUGAGUGAUGAAGGUCUUCGGAUCGUAAAACUCUGUUAUUAGGGAAGAACAUAUGUGUAAGUACCUGUGCACAUCUUGACGGUACCUAAUCAGAAAGCCACGGCUAACUACGUG